AACGCACAUUGCGCCCCUUGGUAUUCCGAGGGGCAUGCCUGUUCGAGCGUCAUUAUAACCACUCAAGCCUUGGCUUGGUAUUGGGGAUCGCGAUCUCGCGGCCCUUAAAAUCAGUGGCGGUGCCGUCUGGCUCUAAGCGUAGUAAUUUCUCUCGCUAUAGGGUCUGGUGGUUACUUGCCAUUAACCCCCCAUUUUCUUAGGUUGACCUCGGAUCAGGUAGGGAUACCCGCUGAACUUAA
This 239-nucleotide unclassified non-coding RNA is filed under the name uncultured fungus. RNAcentral describes it as "sequence contains ITS2". The stretch from base 1 to 52 matches the Rfam family "5.8S ribosomal RNA", at positions 103 to 154 of the family's 154-position model. Lineage: Eukaryota; Fungi. The record is from RNAcentral.